CGCCUGCAUGCUAAUAGAGCAGCUCUGAGUGGGAUGAGAAAGCCAGCUUGACUCUGCAAGGUGCUCUGAUUUCCUCCAAAUCAAACCAGCGAGCCGUCAUCAGCGGGACAUUUCCUCAGAUCUCUGCAUAAAGGCUCAUACAGGUGACAAACGGUCCAAACUGGAAUCAGUGCGUUUUAUCCAUGGGGGGUGGGGGCUGGUGACCCUCAUCGCUACUCUUUCUAAAAUUCUUUUAUUUUUGUUUUCAAUUUCGUGUUGACGCGACGUUCCACUGCGCCGAUUUGCACAUGCGGACACAUAUGACGCAGCUGCGCCCCUUUGGCCGCGAUUUAAUCACAGCCUAUAAUACGGAUAUCUGAUAAUUUUUUUUUGGAGGGGGUCAGGGAUGGCGCACCGGAGUGUCCCGUUUUCUAACAAGUUUCCGCUGCUGUUUGGUAUGUCCGUCAUGUCCGCCCCUUCAUGAGCGCCUCUCCGCGUAGAACCAGGCGCAGGUUCCGAAGUUGGCCGGGAAUAACAAUAAGAGGACUGCGCAUCGCUGAGGACGAAGAGCAGAAGUGACAGCGGCUGAAUUCCCUACCAGCAUCAUCAGCAUCUCUGCGAGGAAUAAAAACUGUGCGGGGGGCUCUGCUGCUGCCCACUCCCUCUUCAUCCACACACUUUUUUUUUUUUUGGGUAAGAUUUUCUGCAGUGAAUCCAAGCGUCUGAAAGCAAAGCUGCGUAAAACUUGGCCAGAUCUGGUAACACUGCCGCCUUUGUGCGCAGUCCGGAUGGAUAUGCGCCUCAUGGAGGGAAUUUAAUCAUAAGAUAAAAAGCAAGGGGGGGAUUAUUAUUAUUAGACCCUCUUUUAUUUUACCUUCAAAAUGGAUGCCUACCAAAGGGUUUGGGGACGCCACUGGAUAAGCCACCGUUCCGCGAUCUGAGAGGCACCUGCGUUUAAAGUUUGGAUCAAUCUGUCGGUGUAGGAUGCAGUCUGGAGCCAAGACGCUCUCCGCAGGUGGAGGGGCGUCACUCUGCUGCCUGCUUCUCCUCUGGCUCAUUUACUCACAUCUGCUUAGAGAAGGCCAGUUGGCGGUGGGGACCUGCGAGAUAGUGAUGCUCAACAGAGACAGCAGUGUUCCUAGACGGACAAUCGCCAGGCAGACCGCCCGCUGCGCCUGCCGGAGAGGCCAGAUUGCCGGCACCACCAGGGCGAGGCCGGCGUGUGUAGACGCGCGAAUUGUGCGGAGCCGUCAGUGGUGUGAGAUGGCUCCCUGCAUGGAGGGGGAGGUCUGCAGCCUCCUGUUCAACAGAUCCGGCUGGACCUGCACCAGGGGCAGUGGUCGCAUCAAGACCGUCACGAACAUAUGAACUACGUCAGCAGAAGACCAAAGUGGGAACUAUUUCUCCUUUACCCAAGGAGCCAUCGUAGGUGGAAGAGGAAAAACAGCAGGGUCACCAACAGCUCUCUAUUUACACAAGCAAAGCGGUGGCCAGUCACUACAUCUGUAUCCAUUGACCAACGGGCCUCAGUGACAUUUCCACGAGGACUGACCAUCCAGGACAAAAAGAAAAAAAAAAGCUUCGACAGUCUCUACAGCAAAACUUGAGAGAACUCAGAGGAGCAAUACACCAUUAGCAUUGAACUUUCACCCUCAGCAAGAUCACAAAGUCAUCAUUGAAAAGUGAAAACAAGAAAAAAAAAAAACACGAGCCUUUAUGUCAUCCACAACCUGAUUUCUAUGGAAGGGAUCCAUGAGGAUCUUCCUGUUUGCACCUUUGUGACAGGAUUCAAACUUAUUAGAGGUUAUUUUAGAGAGUCAACUGCUUUAUCUUCAUUCCACUCCCCUCCAUGAAACUAUAAUAACCCGGCCAUGUUUCGUUAAUGACACUUUGCUGCUAAACAGUUUGGACUUUACAGACGCUGAGCCACACCGUUCCGUCUGUCAAAUUAAAGCCUUUAACACCUUUCUCCUGUUUGACUCGGUGAAACUUUACGAGGCUGAAGAGGACGCCGUGGAACCAUGACUGGGAAGCAGCGUGAAAGUCACAGAAGAGACGACAGGAAAAAGUUGUCAGUGCUUUCUCAGUGAACGAUGGUACUUUCAAAACAUUUUGGAUGACUUAGCUUCAAUCAUGAUUUUUUUUUCUUUUUUUUUUAAAUGUGAUGUAAACAUAGACUAGCAGAGUGAUUUUUGUCAAUGAACUCCACACAUAAUGUUCACAGCACUGGGAACAUUUAGCAGAUGUGGGCUCCCGGCUCAUUUUGUGUGUUAUGGAAGUUGGUGCAUGUUUGCUUCUGUCCGUGUGUGUGUGUGUAUGUCUGAGUGUGUGUGUGAGAGAGAAAAGAGAGAGACAGAGGGUACAUCAGGAAACACUGUGAAGUAAGUUCUAUCCAAUGCAUUAUUCAUGCUCUUGUAUAUUUUUGGGACAUGCCCAGACCAGAGCUCACCAUCUGGCAAAGAGAAUUUUACAGAUGUUGAAUCUCUUUCAAAUCCUCUCUUUUGUUUCUUUUUUGCUUUCCUUCUCCAUUAACAUUUGCAGAUAUUUAUACAGGAGUAAGAAAAUAUGUCACAUAAGUUAAAUACUGUAAUCAAUCUCUGUUCCUGUGAUUAAAUGUAUCUCUGAAUCCUGUCGAAAUUGAAUAUAUUUUGAUAUCAGAUGUUUUGGGGGCCAGCUCUUUGGAGGGUUUGGUGUUUGCAAAUUUAGAAGAUAGCCUGACUUGUUUUAAAAAUGUAAAUAGAUCCAUAUAUAUCCAACAAAUAUAUUUUAUGUUCUUGUAAAAGGGCAGCAGAAGUUGCUUUUAAUUUGGGUGGACACAAAAACAUUAGCACCUCUAAGCAAACCCAACCUGAACAUUGUAAAAGUAGGCAACAUUUUCUCCUGAAUUGUGAGGGUUUAUUUUAAGUUAAUAAUUUAAGAAGACAGCAACAGUCUGUGUUGUUAUGUUGAGGUGUUUUUGUUCAUGUGUCCACUCCAUUUGUUUGAUUUCCUUCUACUUGAAAACAAAACAUCACCUGUAUACAGCUCCAUUUUCUGUAUGCAUUUGAGGAUAUAAAUAGAGUGUCUGUUUUUUAAGGUGUUGAGGAUGAACUUGGUGUAUUUGUGUGAAUUGUUUUACACCGUUUGAAGCCCUUAGGGUGCAACAGUUUUCUAGAAGGUAAAAUCACUUGUCCAAACAUCUGUUUAGGCUUCAGAUAGUGGUUAAAGGCAUCAUGUGAACAAAGGCUUGCAAGAAAUACAAAAAAUAGCAAAUGUGUUUUUGAGAGAGUGGCUUUAUGGUUCUUUUUGGGGGGUUUUUCUAAGUCAGGUAUGGUCAGUGAAGUGAAAAAAACAUUGUUCCUACCUUAUCCCAUGGUUUUGAUUUAGUGCUGUCUUUAUAAUCACAUCUUUGGUUUUGCACUCAGUGUAAAUAAACUGUUGCUUUGAUUUUACUCACUGUUGCUUUUGGUGAUGCUGCACAUGGACUCAUUAAAACUUUUGAGCUAAACUGAGGAAGAAAUUAGAAGCAUUCUACUGAUGCUGAAAACUAGACAUGGUGUGGUUAGAUUCUGACAGAAUGAUAUGUUUGACAAACCUUCACUAAAAUAGGAACAGAGUCUACCAUUACCUUCCUAUGCAUUUGAUGUUGUAGCCCAAAAAUGCCAUUCCCAGAAAACCCAACUGGUAUUAUUGAAUAUGUUUAAAUGCAGUACAACUCUUAAGUCAGCAUUAUUCUAGACAUAUGAGCCUCCACUGCAGAAUGGAAGCAAGUGGGACAGAUUAGAGGUGCAGGCUAGACUUAAUCUCAAAGUUAUCUUUGUAGACCCUCUGUCUGCAUUAAGACAGAUUUUAACUAUUGUAUGCUAGAGAAUCUCCAAUGGUCAGUACGUGACCUACUUUCUCAUUCCAUCAAUUGUUUGGCUACUUGAGGUGUAACACCAUGUAAGGAAAUACGCUUAUAUCUCUGCAAGAUCUCAGAUCACUUGAAUUUUAGCCUUCUGGUUUCAAUUUUAUUGCUAAGUUCAUAUUUUUAGGGCAGUAUUGGGUAAUCUCCCUAGCUUAAAAUGUUCACACCAAAAUACUUGCAAUGAAUACAAAACUGUAUAGUUUACAAGACUCCUAGUUUUUCUGUUCUUUUCAUGUGUUGUCGUCUAUCUGUAUUCCCUAUUCAAAACAGAUACAUAAUAUAUUCACAACCCCUUUAAGAUAACAUUGGAGCCUAGGCCGAGAUACCACACUGAAAAUAACCAGUUAACAGUUUUUUUUAGAUGAGAACCUGGAGUCACUAUUUUAAUCCUAAUAUAAAUAUUCAUGUUUUUUUUUAUUAUUUAUCUAUUUUCCUCAUCUGAGGAAAUCCCAAAAAACUUUACUUACCAAAACAACUAAAAAUAGCUGUUAUUGUUUGGAGGCAAAAACUGAACAGUCUAAAUGCACAUUUAACCGGGGAAUAUCUACUAACAAUUCUAAGUUUAUUGGU
RNA transcript from Cyprinodon variegatus (sheepshead minnow), 4435 nucleotides. It is a transcript of the gene named protein FAM19A5-like, with no coding region annotated. The record is from RefSeq and is a predicted model, not a curated record. The transcript has 6 exons. NCBI's taxonomy places the organism in Eukaryota, Metazoa, Chordata, Actinopteri, Cyprinodontiformes, Cyprinodontidae.